UGAUGAUACGAUGUUUACAUAAAGAGACAA
RNAcentral lists this non-coding RNA (30 nucleotides) under Mus musculus (house mouse). The record is from RNAcentral. Lineage: Eukaryota; Metazoa; Chordata; Mammalia; Rodentia; Muridae.